CGAAUGCUGACAUAAGUAACGAUAAAGCGGGUGAAAAGCCCGCUCGCCGGAAGACCAAGGGUUCCUGUCCAACGUUAAUCGGGGCAGGGUGAGUCGACCCCUAAGGCGAGGCCGAAAGGCGUAGUCGAUGGGAAACAGGUUAAUAUUCCUGUACUUGGUGUUACUGCGAAGGGGGGACGGAGAAGGCUAUGUUGGCCGGGCGACGGUUGUCCCGGUUUAAGCGUGUAGGCUGGUUUUCCAGGCAAAUCCGGAAAAUCAAGGCUGAGGCGUGAUGACGAGGCACUACGGUGCUGAAGCAACAAAUGCCCUGCUUCCAG
This 317-nucleotide ribosomal RNA is filed under the name Escherichia coli. Its description in RNAcentral is "partial 23S ribosomal RNA". It matches the Rfam family "Bacterial large subunit ribosomal RNA", at positions 1291 to 1611 of the family's 2925-position model. Lineage: Bacteria; Pseudomonadati; Pseudomonadota; Gammaproteobacteria; Enterobacterales; Enterobacteriaceae. The record is from RNAcentral.